GACGAACGCUGGCGGCGUGCCUAGUACAUGCAAGUUGAGCGCUGAAGGUUGGUACUUGUACCAACUGGAUGAGCAGCGAACGGGUGAGUAACGCGUGGGGAAUCUGCCUUUGAGCGGGGGACAACAUUUGGAAACGAAUGCUAAUACCGCAUAAAAACUUUAAACACAAGUUUUAAGUUUGAAAGAUGCAAUUGCAUCACUCAAAGAUGAUCCCGCGUUGUAUUAGCUAGUUGGUGAGGUAAAGGCUCACCAAGGCGAUGAUACAUAGCCGACCUGAGAGGGUGAUCGGCCACAUUGGGACGGAGACACGGCCCAAACUCCUACGGGAGGCAGCAGUAGGGAAGCUUCGGCAAUGGACGAGAGUCUGACCGAGCAACGCCGCGUGAGUGAAGAAGGGUUUCGGAUCGUAAAACUCGGUUGGUAGAGAAGAACGUUGGUGAGAGUGGAAAGCUCAUCAAGUGACGGUAACUACCCAGAAAGGGACGGCUAACUACGUG
RNAcentral lists this ribosomal RNA (497 nucleotides) under uncultured bacterium. RNAcentral's name for it is "partial 16S ribosomal RNA". It matches the Rfam family "Bacterial small subunit ribosomal RNA", at positions 28 to 507 of the family's 1533-position model. The record is from RNAcentral.